GACACAGUGGCGCAGUGGUUAGCAUUGCUGCCUCUCAGCAGAAGGGUCAUGGGUUUGACUCCGGCCUGGGGCC
This is a non-coding RNA of Gymnothorax javanicus (giant moray), 73 nucleotides long. Lineage: Eukaryota; Metazoa; Chordata; Actinopteri; Anguilliformes; Muraenidae. The record is from the annotation of a GenBank genome assembly.